GACGAACGCUGGCGGCGUGCUUAACACAUGCAAGUCGAGCGGUAAGGCCCUUUCGGGGGUACACGAGCGGCGAACGGGUGAGUAACACGUGGGUGACCUGCCCUUAGCUCUGGGAUAAGCCUGGGAAACUGGGUCUAAUACCGGAUAUGACUCCAUGACGCAUGUUGUGGGGUGGAAAGCCUUGUGCGGCUAGGGAUGGGCCCGCGGCCUAUCAGCUUGUUGGUGGGGUGAUGGCCUACCAAGGCGACGACGGGUAGCCGGCCUGAGAGGGCGACCGGCCACACUGGGACUGAGAUACGGCCCAGACUCCUACGGGAGGCAGCAGUGGGGAAUCUUGCGCAAUGGGCGAAAGCCUGACGCAGCGACGCCGCGUGAGGGAUGACGGCCU
This 388-nucleotide ribosomal RNA is filed under the name uncultured bacterium. Its description in RNAcentral is "bacterial SSU rRNA". It matches the Rfam family "Bacterial small subunit ribosomal RNA", at positions 28 to 417 of the family's 1533-position model. The record is from RNAcentral.